Molecule: ribosomal RNA, 394 nt
Filed under: Mallomonas akrokomos
Lineage: Eukaryota; Synurophyceae; Synurales; Mallomonadaceae
Description: partial small subunit ribosomal RNA
Rfam family: Eukaryotic small subunit ribosomal RNA
Source: RNAcentral
GCUUGUCUCAAAGAUUAAGCCAUGCAUGUCUCAGUAUAAGUUCCUGUACGGCGAAACUGCGAAUGGCUCAUUAAAACAGUUACAGUUUAUUUGAUGGUCGUUCCUUACAUGGAUAACUGUGGUAAUUCUAGAGCUAAUACAUGCACCCGUGCCCGACUUUGUGGAAGGGUUGUGUUUAUUAGAUGGAAACCAAUGCGGGGCAACCCGGUAUAUGGUGAUUCAUAAUAACUUUCGGAUCGAUCUUCGGAUCGAUGCAUCAUUCAAGUUUCUGCCCUAUCAGCUUUGGAUGGUAGGGUAUUGGCCUACCAUGGCUUUAACGGGUAACGGAGAAUUAGGGUUCGAUUCCGGAGAGGGAGCCUGAGAAAUGGCUACCACAUCCAAGGAAGGCAGCAGG